CGACCUACGGGACGCAGCAGUGGGGAAUAUUGCACAAUGGGGGAAACCCUGAUGCAGCGACGCCGCGUGAGUGAAGAAGUAUCUCGGUACGUAAAGCUCUAUCAGCAGGGAAGAAAAUGACGGUACCUGACCAAGAAGCCCCGGCUAAUUACGUGCCAGCAGCCGCGGUAAUACGUAGGGGGCAAGCGUUAUCCGGAUUUACUGGGUGUAAAGGGAGCGUAGACGGCAGCGCAAGUCUGGAGUGAAGUGCCGGGGCUCAACCCCGGAACUGCUUUGGAAACUUUGCAGCUAGAGUGCGGGAGAGG
RNAcentral lists this ribosomal RNA (305 nucleotides) under uncultured bacterium. RNAcentral's name for it is "bacterial SSU rRNA". It matches the Rfam family "Bacterial small subunit ribosomal RNA", at positions 335 to 657 of the family's 1533-position model. The record is from RNAcentral.